GGGCCAGGCUGGAUGGUGCUUGGAGCAGCCUGGGAUAGUGGAAUGUGUCCCUGCCCAUGGCAGGGGGUGGCAUGGGAUGAGUAUGAAUGCCCCUCCUAACCCAAAUCAUUCCAUGAUUCUAUGGAAAUGAAUUGAACUCUUGCCAUGGAACGCCUCAGCAGCCCCUGACUGGGUUAUUUUCCUGCACAAGGUCAGAUCCAACAGUGGGCCAAGAGAUGCCAUCACUGAUGUCCAGUUUGUGACCAAGGGAUGGACACACAGGUUUGUGACUUGCCUUGGAAUUCCAGGACAUUUCUCUUUAUUGCUUUCUGUCAGACCAGGAGGGGCUGGCAAUCAGUGGAUUCCCUGUGGCCACAGAGCUCUCCCGGGCCAUCAUUAGGGGUGAUUAUCAGCAAUCACCAUGUCACUGUUCCCAAGGCAGGCUUUGCUGCCUCCUUUCCUCUCCAGCCCCCAACGAGCAGGUGCUGGAGGUCAGGGGGUUUCUGUGGCUCUGUGGUGACAAGGAAUAUCUGGAAGUCUCCAGUAUCAACCAGGGAUUGCACUGCAGGCCUCUCUCUAGUCAAAACCAGCAGCACAGAAACAUUUCCUGGUGCCUUUCGUGCCUCUGCCAGCACUGGCAGCAGGCAGGAGACUUGUGGGACCUGCAGGGCCCUGCUUUGGCUUUCCUGUGGUGGGGAAGGGACAGGUCUCCAUCCCAGUGCCCUGGGAAAUAUGAAAAGCUGUGCCUCCAUUCAGCAAAGUCACAGCUGCCUGAAACAUUCCUCCAGCCCUGCUCUCUGGAUUAAGGAAGGCUGAAAGCUUUUUUUUUCCUUUUUUUUUUUUUUUUUUUUUUUUAAUCAGUUCAAUGUUUUACAGCUCAAAUUCAAAUAGGAGCUUAAGAGCUUAAACAAUGAAACAUAAGGAUGUGCUGGCAGGGCUGGGCUGUCUCCUCUCCUGUUUGCAGCUCUGCUUGGCAUCAGCCUGGGCUGAAAAACACCUGCAUCUGGCCACCACAAGCUGAGCAGCCUUUCCAGGCAUUUCACUGCCUUGUGGAAGGUAGAACAAGUGGGAAUUCAAGUGGGAAUUACUUCAGGAAAGCUGGUGAGGGACUUCUUACAAGGGCCUGGAGUGGCAGGACAAGGGGAACGUCUUUGCACUGCCAGAGGGCAGGGUUAUGUGGGAUAUUGGGAAGAAAUCCUUCCCUGUGAGGGUGGGCAGGCCCUGGCACAGGGUGCCCAGAGAAGCUGUGGCUGCCCCUUGGAUCCCCAGAAGUGUCCAAGCCUUGCCAUCUAUUGCCUCUGGCUUGCUUCCUCAUAGCCAGUCUCCUCCACCCUUGACCACCUCUCCCUCUCCCUCUCCCUCCAUGCCCAGCUUCCCCUCCUUCCACUCCUCAGGGUUACUGUGGGAAGCAUCAGGUGGUGCAAGAAACCAAAGGAAGGCCAAGAGACAGCUCAGGAGGCAGGAAAGGAGCUUUUCCUGCCCCCCACAACCUAUGGAAACACAACUGCCCUGGCUGGGCAGAGAACUGACCAUGUCUGAACUCUGGAUGGAAAUACAAGCAGAAGAAAGGAUGCUGCUCCACUGGAAGGAGGGAGACUCCUCCCAGGCUCCUGGAGCAGAUCCCCAGCUGGUGUAAAUAAAGAAGCACCAGACUGGUUUACACAAGCUGCAGCUGCUGAGAAAUGCUUUUCCCAGCCCUUUUUCCUGAUGGGAUUGGUUUACUUUUCCUAUUUUCCUCCAACUCUGAAUGCCAUCACUAAAAUCCACAUGUUCUGCCCCACCUUGCAGCCCAUUUGGGGAGCAGCAGGGGAGAAAAAUCAGACCUGGAGUCCAUUCAGAGCCAGAAACACCGUGCUGCUCUUCCCAGGGAUAAAGCUGAUCUGUUCUUGCCAGCAUACCCAGUCCCCUCCUCUAGAGCACUCACCAGCAUCCCUUAAAGGCUGGUGGAGCAGCAGCUGAUGGAUGUGCAGAUGGAGCUGGAAGAAGCCUGUUACUCUAAGGGCUGGCUACAGUGACGUGGGGACAGGGCACAGACCUGGGCUGGAACCAGCACCCCAAAUCUCUCUCUUAGCACAGAGGGAUCAUUACUGCUGCUGCUUCCUCUCUUUAUUGUCUGGAUGCUCGCAGUCAUGAGCUCUGGAAUCCUGGACCACGAGAGGACACUUUGCUGAUCACCUGCCUUCAUUAAGAAAACUUAAUUUUAGUGCUGAUGGGAAAUUGGAUUAAAGAAAAUAAACCACCCAAAAACAGCCA
Molecule: non-coding RNA, 2232 nt
Organism: Taeniopygia guttata (zebra finch)
Lineage: Eukaryota; Metazoa; Chordata; Aves; Passeriformes; Estrildidae
Source: RefSeq, a predicted model, not a curated record